UGUCUAAUGCGGGAUUUGAACCCGGGUCGUGACUGUCGAAAAUUCAUAUCUUAGACCACUCGUCCACCAAGC
This is a non-coding RNA of Cordylochernes scorpioides, 72 nucleotides long. The record is from the annotation of a GenBank genome assembly. NCBI's taxonomy places the organism in Eukaryota, Metazoa, Arthropoda, Arachnida, Pseudoscorpiones, Chernetidae.